RNAcentral lists this ribosomal RNA (493 nucleotides) under uncultured bacterium. RNAcentral describes it as "partial 16S ribosomal RNA". It matches the Rfam family "Bacterial small subunit ribosomal RNA", at positions 29 to 508 of the family's 1533-position model. The record is from RNAcentral.
AGUGAACGCUGGCGGUAGGCCUAACACAUGCAAGUCGAACGGCAGCACAGUAAGAGCUUGCUCUUACGGGUGGCGAGUGGCGGACGGGCGAGGAAUACAUCGGAAUCUACUUUUUCGUGGGGGAUAACGUAGGGAAACUUACGCUAAUACCGCAUACGACCUACGGGUGAAAGCAGGGGAUCUUCGGACCUUGCGCGAUUGAAUGAGCCGAUGUCGGAUUAGCUAGUUGGCGGGGUAAAGGCCCACCAAGGCGACGAUCCGUAGCUGGUCUGAGAGGAUGAUCAGCCACACUGGAACUGAGACACGGUCCAGACUCCUACGGGAGGCAGCAGUGGGGAAUAUUGGACAAUGGGCGCAAGCCUGAUCCAGCCAUACCGCGUGGGUGAAGAAGGCCUUCGGGUUGUAAAGCCCUUUUGUUGGGAAAGAAAAGCAGCAGGUUAAUACCCCGCUGUUCUGACGGUACCCAAAGAAUAAGCACCGGCUAACUUCGUGC